GACCCGAAACUGAUCGAUCUAGCCAUGAGCAGGUUGAAAAGAGCUCUAACAGGCCCUGGAGGACCGAACCCACGUAUGUGGCAAAAUACGGGGAUAACUUGUGGCUAGGGGUGAAAGGCCAACCAAGAUCGGAUAUAGCUGG
Molecule: non-coding RNA, 142 nt
Filed under: Nicotiana sylvestris (wood tobacco)
Lineage: Eukaryota; Viridiplantae; Streptophyta; Magnoliopsida; Solanales; Solanaceae
Description: Bacterial large subunit ribosomal RNA
Rfam family: Bacterial large subunit ribosomal RNA
Source: Rfam by way of RNAcentral